RNAcentral lists this ribosomal RNA (1679 nucleotides) under Staphylococcus pseudintermedius. RNAcentral describes it as "partial 23S ribosomal RNA". It matches the Rfam family "Bacterial large subunit ribosomal RNA", at positions 407 to 2091 of the family's 2925-position model. The record is from RNAcentral. Lineage: Bacteria; Bacillati; Bacillota; Bacilli; Caryophanales; Staphylococcaceae.
CCUGAGUACGACGGAGCACGUGAAAUUCCGUCGGAAUCUGGGAGGACCAUCUCCUAAGGCUAAAUACUCUCUAGUGACCGAUAGUGAACCAGUACCGUGAGGGAAAGGUGAAAAGUACCCCGGAAGGGGAGUGAAAGAGAACUUGAAACCGUGUGCUUACAAGUAGUCAGAGCCCGUUAAUGGGUGAUGGCGUGCCUUUUGUAGAAUGAACCGGCGAGUUACGAUCUGAUGCAAGGUUAAGCAGAAAAUGUGGAGCCGUAGCGAAAGCGAGUCUGAAUAGGGCGAAUGAGUAUUUGGUCGUAGACCCGAAACCAGGUGAUCUACCCUUGGUCAGGUUGAAGUUCAGGUAACACUGAAUGGAGGACCGAACCGACUUACGUUGAAAAGUGAGCGGAUGAACUGAGGGUAGCGGAGAAAUUCCAAUCGAACUUGGAGAUAGCUGGUUCUCUCCGAAAUAGCUUUAGGGCUAGCCUCAAGUGAUGAUUAUUGGAGGUAGAGCACUGUUUGGACGAGGGGCCCCUCUCGGGUUACCGAAUUCAGACAAACUCCGAAUGCCAAAUAAUUUAACUUGGGAGUCAGAAUGUGGGUGAUAAGGUCCAUAUUCGAAAGGGAAACAGCCCAGACCACCAGCUAAGGUCCCAAAAUAUAUGUUAAGUGGAAAAGGAUGUGGCGUUGCCCAGACAACUAGGAUGUUGGCUUAGAAGCAGCCAUCAUUUAAAGAGUGCGUAAUAGCUCACUAGUCGAGUGACACUGCGCCGAAAAUGUACCGGGGCUAAACAUAUUACCGAAGCUGUGGAUUGUCCUUUGGACAAUGGUAGGAGAGCGUUCUAAGGGCGUUGAAGCAUGAUCGCAAGGACAUGUGGAGCGCUUAGAAGUGAGAAUGCCGGUGUGAGUAGCGAAAGACGGGUGAGAAUCCCGUCCACCGAUUGACUAAGGUUUCCAGAGGAAGGCUCGUCCGCUCUGGGUUAGUCGGGUCCUAAGCUGAGGCCGACAGGCGUAGGCGAUGGAUAACAGGUUGAUAUUCCUGUACCACCAUUAUUCGUUUUAAGCGAUGGGGGGACGCAGUAGGAUAGGCGAAGCGUGCUGUUGGAGUGCACGUCCAAGCAGUGAGAUUGAGUGUUAGGCAAAUCCGGCACUCUUAAGAUUGAGCUGUGAUGGGGAGAGGAACUUGUUCCUCGAGUCGUUGAUUUCACACUGCCGAGAAAAGCCUCUAGCUAGAAUAACGGUGCCCGUACCGCAAACCGACACAGGUAGUCAAGAUGAGAAUUCUAAGGUGAGCGAGCGAACUCUCGUUAAGGAACUCGGCAAAAUGACCCCGUAACUUCGGGAGAAGGGGUGCUCUUUGAGGUUCACGCUUCGAAGAGCCGCAGUGAAUAGGCCCAAGCGACUGUUUAUCAAAAACACAGGUCUCUGCUAAACCGUAAGGUGACGUAUAGGGGCUGACGCCUGCCCGGUGCUGGAAGGUUAAGAGGAGUGGUUAGCGCAAGCGAAGCUACGAAUCGAAGCCCCAGUAAACGGCGGCCGUAACUAUAACGGUCCUAAGGUAGCGAAAUUCCUUGUCGGGUAAGUUCCGACCCGCACGAAAGGCGUAACGAUUUGGGCACUGUCUCAACGAGAGACUCGGUGAAAUCAUAGUACCGGUGAAGAUGCCGGUUACCCGCGACAGGACGGAAAGACCC